UGGAAGGUAGUUCAACUGGUUGAACAGAGGUGAAGGGAGUUCGUACACUACUCCCCUAUCCCCAGGUAGCAGGUUCGAGUCCUGUCCUUCCAG
Molecule: transfer RNA, 93 nt
Filed under: Ignavibacteriaceae bacterium
Lineage: Bacteria; Pseudomonadati; Ignavibacteriota; Ignavibacteria; Ignavibacteriales; Ignavibacteriaceae
Description: tRNA-OTHER
Rfam family: tRNA
About the family: Transfer RNA (tRNA) molecules are approximately 80 nucleotides in length. Their secondary structure includes four short double-helical elements and three loops (D, anti-codon, and T loops). Further hydrogen bonds mediate the characteristic L-shaped molecular structure. tRNAs have two regions of fundamental functional importance: the anti-codon, which is responsible for specific mRNA codon recognition, and the 3' end, to which the tRNAs corresponding amino acid is attached (by aminoacyl-tRNA synthetases). tRNAs cope with the degeneracy of the genetic code in two manners: having more than one tRNA (with a specific anti-codon) for a particular amino acid; and 'wobble' base-pairing, i.e. permitting non-standard base-pairing at the 3rd anti-codon position.
Source: RNAcentral